AGUUUGCCUGAAAAGAGAGGUUAGUAUUUCCUUUGAUAAGGAUGGAAGAGGACCUAGUGGCCUUUACCACACAUUUAUAGUUGAGGCAUUACCAACCACUCUGUGGCAUCUCACCAUGUAAUGCU
Molecule: non-coding RNA, 125 nt
Filed under: Notamacropus eugenii (tammar wallaby)
Lineage: Eukaryota; Metazoa; Chordata; Mammalia; Diprotodontia; Macropodidae
Source: RNAcentral